GUUGUCGGAUUCACUUCAAUCCAUGUGUGUUGGUGUGGGUUGAGGGUGGAAUUUAUUCCAAAUUCUACUCCAAUCCACCUCAACACAUGUGGAUUGAUGUGAAUCCGACU
MicroRNA precursor from Sorghum bicolor (sorghum), 110 nucleotides. It matches the Rfam family "MIR5565 microRNA precursor family". NCBI's taxonomy places the organism in Eukaryota, Viridiplantae, Streptophyta, Magnoliopsida, Poales, Poaceae. The record is from Rfam.